AUCGAUAAUCCACGAUAAAUUUCACUUUAAUUUAAAAUUUAUAUAUCGCCAUCUUAAGAAUUAAUUAAAAAAUAUUUCUCUAAAAAACAAAUAAAAAGUUAGGUCAAGGUAUAAUUAACAUUAAAGAAUUAGAUGAAUUACAUUAAACAUAAUUUUAAGAGUAUAAAUAAAUAUAUUCAUACAAAUAAGAAUUUAAAAGUAAUAUUUAAAUAAUAUUAUAAUAUGAUUAAGAUAAUAAAUGUGCACACAUCGCCC
RNAcentral lists this ribosomal RNA (255 nucleotides) under Lineacoelotes sp. ZZ046. RNAcentral's name for it is "partial 12S ribosomal RNA". Lineage: Eukaryota; Metazoa; Arthropoda; Arachnida; Araneae; Agelenidae. The record is from RNAcentral.